This 260-nucleotide long non-coding RNA is filed under the name Lathyrus oleraceus (garden pea). Its description in RNAcentral is "Pisum sativum (pea) long non-coding RNA (PSAT_LNC029379)". Lineage: Eukaryota; Viridiplantae; Streptophyta; Magnoliopsida; Fabales; Fabaceae. The record is from RNAcentral.
AAAAGGUCAAAGGACCUUAGACAAAAAAAUUCACUAUUUUUGAAAAGUCAGAAGUAUUUUUAAACAAUUAAAAAUAUGAAUAAAAUCAUUUAAUUCAUGAAAAAUAUCAAAAUUAAUCCAAAAAAUAAUUUUAAUUUAGAAUAUGAAAGAGAAAAAUAUUUUAAGAUUUUUGGUGAAAGUCCCAUAUUUUUUGAUUAAAAAUGAAAUUAUUAUGAAUUAAACAAAAUAAAAGGAUUAAAUGGAAAUUCAGAAAAUAAAAA